AGUGAACGCUGGCGGUAGGCCUAACACAUGCUAGUCGAACGGCAGCACAGUAAGAGCUUGCUCUUACGGGUGGCGAGUGGCGGACGGGUGAGGAAUACAUCGGAAUCUACUUUUUCGUGGGGGAUAACGUAGGGAAACUUACGCUAAUACCGCAUACGACCUACGGGUGAAAGCAGGGGAUCUUCGGACCUUGCGCGAUUGAAUGAGCCGAUGUCGGAUUAGCUAGUUGGCGGGGUAAAGGCCCACCAAGGCGACGAUCCGUAGCUGGUCUGAGAGGAUGAUCAGCCACACUGGAACUGAGACACGGUCCAGACUCCUACGGGAGGCAGCAGUGGGGAAUAUUGGACAAAGGGCGCAAGCCUGAUCCAGCCAUACCGCGUGGGUGAAGAAGGCCUUCGGGUUGUAAAGCCCUUUUGUUGGGAAAGAAAAGCAGCAGGUUAAUACCCCGCUGUUCUGACGGUACCCAAAGAAUAAGCACCGGCUAACUUCGUG
Molecule: ribosomal RNA, 492 nt
Filed under: uncultured bacterium
Lineage: Bacteria
Description: partial 16S ribosomal RNA
Rfam family: Bacterial small subunit ribosomal RNA
Source: RNAcentral